UCCUCAUCCAUCAUCUGCUUGUCUGUCAAAUCAUUUAAAUUUUGAGAUGAUGAAUCAUAAACGCCAUGGGCAGGGUGACUUUUCAAUAUAGAUACUUGAGGAAUGGAAGAAGAUUGACUGUGCUGCCUGUUCUGAGUAGUAUGCUCCGCAGGUGCAUUCAAGACAGUUUGAUUGCCAAUAUGAGAAACUUUGGUGGUCACUCCAGGAACUUCAAUUUCUUCUGCUGCUUCUCUUUUAGACAACGGUAUGUAUGAUGCAGCAUAAGGGUUCAAUGUCGAUACUCCUGGCUUCAUUGCUUUAAUAAGGAAAUCAGAUCACAGGCGCAAGAAUGGAUGAUAGAGGCCAAAUGGGGGAUUUCUCGGAAGAAAUGAAACCCUAAAUUCCUUUAUACUUUCCCUUUUAGAGA
This 406-nucleotide unclassified non-coding RNA is filed under the name Hevea brasiliensis (rubber tree). The record is from RNAcentral. Lineage: Eukaryota; Viridiplantae; Streptophyta; Magnoliopsida; Malpighiales; Euphorbiaceae.